AGCACUUCGGUGCGAGUACAGCGGCGGACGGGUGAGUAACGCGUAGGAAUCUACCUAGUAGUGGGGGACAACAUGUGGAAACGCAUGCUAAUACCGCAUACGCCCUAUGGGGGAAAGCAGGGGAUCUUCGGACCUUGCGCUAUUGGAUGAGCCUGCGUCAGAUUAGCUAGUUGGUGGGGUAAUGGCCUACCAAGGCAACGAUCUGUAGCUGGUCUGAGAGGAUGACCAGCCACACUGGAACUGAGACACGGUCCAGACUCCUACGGGAGGCAGCAGUGGGGAAUAUUGCACAAUGGGCGAAAGCCUGAUGCAGCCAUGCCGCGUGUGUGAAGAAGGC
This 337-nucleotide ribosomal RNA is filed under the name uncultured bacterium. RNAcentral describes it as "bacterial SSU rRNA". It matches the Rfam family "Bacterial small subunit ribosomal RNA", at positions 74 to 415 of the family's 1533-position model. The record is from RNAcentral.